Molecule: small RNA, 132 nt
Filed under: Escherichia coli
Lineage: Bacteria; Pseudomonadati; Pseudomonadota; Gammaproteobacteria; Enterobacterales; Enterobacteriaceae
Description: RtT sRNA
Rfam family: RtT RNA
About the family: This family represents a bacterial cis-regulatory element known as RtT RNA. The exact function of RtT is unknown although it is thought that it may be involved in changing the cellular response in relation to amino acid starvation.
Source: RNAcentral
AUUCUGCCCAAGCGGGGAAGGAUGAGAAGCUUCGACUAAGGUUCGAUUCGAGCGAAAGCGAGAGAACGUUGCCACAGGCAACGGCCCGAAGGGUGAGGAGCGAAGCGACGAAUAAUCCUUCCCCCACCACCA